GUGCCAGCCGCCGCGGUAAUACGGAGGAUGCGAGCGUUAUCCGGAUUUAUUGGGUUUAAAGGGUGCGUAGGCGGAUUUUUAAGCGUGAGGUGAAAUGCCCGGGCUCAACCUGGGAACUGCCUCGCGAACUGGGAGUCUGGAAUACCCGUGCCGUGGGAGGAAUGUGUAGUGUAGCGGUGACAUGCAUAGAGAUUACACAGAACACCGAUUGCGAAGGCAUCUCACGAACGGGCGAUUGACGCUGAGGCACGAAAGCGUGGGGAGCGAACAGAAUUAGAUACUCUGGUAGUCCACGCUGUAAACGAUGAUAACUAACCGCUGGUGCGUUGUGUAUCAGUGGCCAAGCGAAAGCGAUAAGUUAUCCACCUGGGGAGUACGACCGCAAGGUUGAAACUCAAAGGAAUUGACGGGGGCCCGCACAAGCGGAGGAACAUGUGGUUUAAUUCGAUGAUACGCGAGGAACCUUACCCGGGCUCGAACGGCAGGUGAAGAGAUCCAGAGAUGGUGACGUCCUUCGGGACACCUGUCGAGGUGCUGCAUGGUUGUCGUCAGCUCGUGCCGUGAGGUGUCGGCUCAAGUGCCAUAACGAGCGCAACCCUUGUCGUCAGUUACCAGCACGUAGAGGUGGGGACUCUGGCGAGACUGCCACCGCAAGGUGAGAGGAAGGGGGGGAUGACGUCAAAUCAGCACGGCCCUUACGUCCGGGGCGACACACGUGUUACAAUGGCGGCCACAGAGGGGCACUACCUGGUGACAGGAUGGGAAUCUCGAAAAGCCGUCUCAGUCCGGAUCGGAGUCUGCAACCCGACUCCGUGAAGCUGGAUUCGCUAGUAAUCGCGCAUCAGCCAUGGCGCGGUGAAUACGUUCCCGGGCCUUGUACACACCGCCCGU
Molecule: ribosomal RNA, 891 nt
Filed under: uncultured bacterium
Lineage: Bacteria
Description: bacterial SSU rRNA
Rfam family: Bacterial small subunit ribosomal RNA
Source: RNAcentral